CCGGCACGGGUGAGUAACACGUAUCCAACCUGCCGUCUACUCUUGGACAGCCUUCUGAAAGGAAGAUUAAUACAAGAUGGCAUCAUGAGUCCGCAUGUUCACAUGAUUAAAGGUAUUCCGGUAGACGAUGGGGAUGCGUUCCAUUAGGCAGUUGGUGGGGUAACGGCCCACCAAACCUUCGAUGGAUAGGGGUUCUGAGAGGAAGGUCCCCCACAUUGGAACUGAGACACGGUCCAA
RNAcentral lists this ribosomal RNA (237 nucleotides) under uncultured bacterium. Its description in RNAcentral is "partial 16S ribosomal RNA". It matches the Rfam family "Bacterial small subunit ribosomal RNA", at positions 100 to 334 of the family's 1533-position model. The record is from RNAcentral.